AGUGAACGCUGGCGGUAGGCCUAACACAUGCAAGUCGAACGGCAGCACAGUAAAAGCUUGCUCUUACGGGUGGCGAGUGGCGGACGGGUGAGGAAUACAUCGGAAUCUACUUUUUCGUGGGGGAUAACGUAGGGAAACUUACGCUAAUACCUCAUACGACCUACGGGUGAAAGCAGGGGAUCUUCGGACCUUGCGCGAUUGAAUGAGCCGAUGUCGGAUUAGCUAGUUGGCGGGGUAAAGGCCCACCAAGGCGACGAUCCGUAGCUGGUCUGAGAGGAUGAUCAGCCACACUGGAACUGAGACACGGUCCAGACUCCUACGGGAGGCAGCAGUGGGGAAUAUUGGACAAUGGGCGCAGGCCUGAUCCAGCCAUACCGCGUGGGGGAAGAAGGCCUUCGGGUUGUAAAGCCCUUUUGUUGGGAAAGAAAAGCAGCAGGUUAAUACCCCGCUGUUCUGACGGUACCCAAAGAAUAAGCACCGGCUAACUUCGUG
Molecule: ribosomal RNA, 492 nt
Filed under: uncultured bacterium
Lineage: Bacteria
Description: partial 16S ribosomal RNA
Rfam family: Bacterial small subunit ribosomal RNA
Source: RNAcentral